Molecule: long non-coding RNA, 247 nt
Filed under: Homo sapiens (human)
Lineage: Eukaryota; Metazoa; Chordata; Mammalia; Primates; Hominidae
Description: LHRI_LNC1208.1
Source: RNAcentral
CCCAAACUGUUCCUAAAAGAUCUCUUUCGUUCUGUAAUGCUUCCUCCAAAUAUAGCUCUCUGCCUGAACAAACAGAUUUUUUCAAAGCUCUAAUUACUUCCGGUGGCCCUUGGAUGAAUUGCUUUAGCCAUUCUUGUGCCUCUUCUAGAGAUUUAGUUUCAUCUGAAGACUGCAAGACCUCUUCAACCAUUCCUAUGUUUAGAGCAUUUUUUGAAUCCAGUUUAAGGGCCCCACUCAACACUUUGAG